RNAcentral lists this ribosomal RNA (432 nucleotides) under uncultured bacterium. RNAcentral's name for it is "partial 16S ribosomal RNA". It matches the Rfam family "Bacterial small subunit ribosomal RNA", at positions 29 to 507 of the family's 1533-position model. The record is from RNAcentral.
ACGAACGCUGGCGGCAUGCCUAACACAUGCAAGUCGAACGAGACCUUCGGGUCUAGUGGCGCACGGGUGCGUAACGCGUGGGAACCUGCCCUUAGGUUCGGAAUAACUCCCCGAAAGGGGUGCUAAUACCGGAUAAUGUCUUCGGACCAAAGAUUUAUCGCCUUUGGAUGGGCCCGCGUUGGAUUAGCUAGUUGGUAGGGUAAAAACCUACCAAGGCGACGAUCCAUAGCUGGUCUGAGAGGAUGAUCAGCCACACUGGGACUGAGACACGGCCCAGACUCCUACGGGAGGCAGCAGUGGGGAAUAUUGGACAAUGGGCGAAAGCCUGAUCCAGCAAUGCCGCGUGAGUGAUGAAGGCCUUAGGGUUGUAAAGCUCUUUUACCCGGGAUGAUAAUGACAGUACCGGGAGAAUAAGCUCCGGCUAACUCCGUG